GCCAGCAGCCAUAUCGCCCUGCAACUCACAACUGGCAACCUACUGAAGCUCAGCAGGUGUGAGCCUGGUCAGUACCUGGAUAGGAGAUCUCCUGGGAAAAACUAUGGUUGCUGCUGGAA
This 119-nucleotide ribosomal RNA is filed under the name Lepisosteus oculatus (spotted gar). Lineage: Eukaryota; Metazoa; Chordata; Actinopteri; Semionotiformes; Lepisosteidae. The record is from RNAcentral.